Molecule: ribosomal RNA, 501 nt
Filed under: uncultured bacterium
Lineage: Bacteria
Description: bacterial SSU rRNA
Rfam family: Bacterial small subunit ribosomal RNA
Source: RNAcentral
AUUGACGCUGGCGGAAUGCUUUACACAUGCAAGUCGAACGGCAGCACGGGGCAACCUGGUGGCGAGUGGCGAACGGGUGAGUAAUACAUCGGAACGUGCCCAAUCGUGGGGGAUAACGUAGCGAAAGUUACGCUAAUACCGCAUACGAUCUACGGAUGAAAGCGGGGGAUCGCAAGACCUCGCGCGAAUGGAGCGGCCGAUGUCAGAUUAGGUAGUUGGUGGGGUAAAGGCUCACCAAGCCAACGAUCUGUAGCUGGUCUGAGAGGACGACCAGCCACACUGGAACUGAGACACGGUCCAGACUCCUACGGGAGGCAGCAGUGGGGAAUUUUGGACAAUGGGCGCAAGCCUGAUCCAGCCAUUCCGCGUGCAGGAUGAAGGCCUUCGGGUUGUAAACUGCUUUUGUACGGACGAAACGGUCUGCCCUAAUACGGCGGGCUAAUGACGGUACCGUAAGAAUAAGCACCGGCUAACUACGUGCCAGCAGCCGCGGUAAUCAUA